Non-coding RNA from Caenorhabditis elegans, 186 nucleotides. Lineage: Eukaryota; Metazoa; Nematoda; Chromadorea; Rhabditida; Rhabditidae. The record is from Ensembl.
CCGCCUCCCCUUCCUCCUUCUCCUCUUUCCUUUCUAUCUGUUCGUUUUUUCGCUUCCACAAAAAUACAGUUAGAAAAAUGAAAUGAUAAUAAGAAAUGUUUUUGAGGUAGAGAGAAGAACCAUAAGUGUUGCUCGCGCCAAGAAAAACUAGUUUUCUAUUCGGAGAUUCUUCCCUUAAAAAAAUUA